GGAGGAGUGCGAGAGUGGCUGAAUCGGACGGUCUCGAAAACCGUUAUAGAAGUAAUUCUAUCGAGGGUUCGAAUCCCUCCUCCUCCGC
Molecule: transfer RNA, 88 nt
Filed under: Chlorobiota bacterium
Lineage: Bacteria; Pseudomonadati; Chlorobiota
Description: tRNA-Ser
Rfam family: tRNA
About the family: Transfer RNA (tRNA) molecules are approximately 80 nucleotides in length. Their secondary structure includes four short double-helical elements and three loops (D, anti-codon, and T loops).
Source: RNAcentral